UACGUAGGGGGCAAGCGUUGUCCGGAAUCAUUGGGCGUAAAGCGCGUGUAGGCGGCUCGGUAAGUCCGCUCUGAAAGUCCAGGGCUCAACCCUGGGAUGCGGGUGGAUACUGCCGAGCUCGAGUCCGGAAGAGGCGAGUGGAAUUCCUGGUGUAGCGGUGAAAUGCGCAGAUAUCAGGAGGAACACCAAUGGCGAAGGCAGCUCGCUGGGACGUGACUGACGCUGAGACGCGAAAGCGUGGGGAGCAGACAGG
RNAcentral lists this ribosomal RNA (253 nucleotides) under uncultured bacterium. RNAcentral's name for it is "partial 16S ribosomal RNA". It matches the Rfam family "Bacterial small subunit ribosomal RNA", at positions 524 to 776 of the family's 1533-position model. The record is from RNAcentral.